Molecule: ribosomal RNA, 2905 nt
Filed under: Escherichia coli
Lineage: Bacteria; Pseudomonadati; Pseudomonadota; Gammaproteobacteria; Enterobacterales; Enterobacteriaceae
Description: 23S ribosomal RNA
Rfam family: Bacterial large subunit ribosomal RNA
Source: RNAcentral
GGUUAAGCGACUAAGCGUACACGGUGGAUGCCCUGGCAGUCAGAGGCGAUGAAGGACGUGCUAAUCUGCGAUAAGCGUCGGUGAGGUGAUAUGAACCGUUAUAACCGGCGAUUUCCGAAUGGGGAAACCCAGUGUGUUUCGACACACUAUCAUUAACUGAAUCCAUAGGUUAAUGAGGCGAACCGGGGGAACUGAAACAUCUAAGUACCCCGAGGAAAAGAAAUCAACCGAGAUUCCCCCAGUAGCGGCGAGCGAACGGGGAGGAGCCCAGAGCCUGAAUCAGUGUGUGUGUUAGUGGAAGCGUCUGGAAAGGCGUGCGAUACAGGGUGACAGCCCCGUACACAAAAAUGCACAUAUUGUGAGCUCGAUGAGUAGGGCGGGACACGUGGUAUCCUGUCUGAAUAUGGGGGGACCAUCCUCCAAGGCUAAAUACUCCUGACUGACCGAUAGUGAACCAGUACCGUGAGGGAAAGGCGAAAAGAACCCCCGGCGAGGGGAGUGAAAAAGAACCUGAAACCGUGUACGUACAAGCAGUGGGAGCCUCUUAAUGGGGUGACUGCGUACCUUUUGUAUAAUGGGUCAGCGACUUAUAUUCUGUAGCAAGGUUAACCGAAUAGGGGAGCCGAAGGGAAACCGAGUCUUAACUGGGCGUUAAGUUGCAGGGUAUAGACCCGAAACCCGGUGAUCUAGCCAUGGGCAGGUUGAAGGUUGGGUAACACUAACUGGAGGACCGAACCGACUAAUGUUGAAAAAUUAGCGGAUGACUUGUGGCUGGGGGUGAAAGGCCAAUCAAACCGGGAGAUAGCUGGUUCUCCCCGAAAGCUAUUUAGGUAGCGCCUCGUGAAUUCAUCUCCGGGGGUAGAGCACUGUUUCGGCAAGGGGGUCAUCCCGACUUACCAACCCGAUGCAAACUGCGAAUACCGGAGAAUGUUAUCACGGGAGACACACGGCGGGUGCUAACGUCCGUCGUGAAGAGGGAAACAACCCAGACCGCCAGCUAAGGUCCCAAAGUCAUGGUUAAGUGGGAAACGAUGUGGGAAGGCCCAGACAGCCAGGAUGUUGGCUUAGAAGCAGCCAUCAUUUAAAGAAAGCGUAAUAGCUCACUGGUCGAGUCGGCCUGCGCGGAAGAUGUAACGGGGCUAAACCAUGCACCGAAGCUGCGGCAGCGACACUAUGUGUUGUUGGGUAGGGGAGCGUUCUGUAAGCCUGUGAAGGUGGCCUGUGAGGGUUGCUGGAGGUAUCAGAAGUGCGAAUGCUGACAUAAGUAACGAUAAAGCGGGUGAAAAGCCCGCUCGCCGGAAGACCAAGGGUUCCUGUCCAACGUUAAUCGGGGCAGGGUGAGUCGACCCCUAAGGCGAGGCCGAAAGGCGUAGUCGAUGGGAAACAGGUUAAUAUUCCUGUACUUGGUGUUACUGCGAAGGGGGGACGGAGAAGGCUAUGUUGGCCGGGCGACGGUUGUCCCGGUUUAAGCGUGUAGGCUGGUUUUCCAGGCAAAUCCGGAAAACCAAGGCUGAGGCGUGAUGACGAGGCACUACGGUGCUGAAGCGACAAAUGCCCUGCUUCCAGGAAAAGCCUCUAAGCAUCAGGUAACAUCAAAUCGUACCCCAAACCGACACAGGUGGUCAGGUAGAGAAUACCAAGGCGCUUGAGAGAACUCGGGUGAAGGAACUAGGCAAAAUGGUGCCGUAACUUCGGGAGAAGGCACGCUGAUAUGUAGGUGAAGCGACUUGCUCGUGGAGCUGAAAUCAGUCGAAGAUACCAGCUGGCUGCAACUGUUUAUUAAAAACACAGCACUGUGCAAACACGAAAGUGGACGUAUACGGUGUGACGCCUGCCCGGUGCCGGAAGGUUAAUUGAUGGGGUUAGCGGCAACGCGAAGCUCUUGAUCGAAGCCCCGGUAAACGGCGGCCGUAACUAUAACGGUCCUAAGGUAGCGAAAUUCCUUGUCGGGUAAGUUCCGACCUGCACGAAUGGCGUAAUGAUGGCCAGGCUGUCUCCACCCGAGACUCAGUGAAAUUGAACUCGCUGUGAAGAUGCAGUGUACCCGCGGCAAGACGGAAAGACCCCGUGAACCUUUACUAUAGCUUGACACUGAACAUUGAGCCUUGAUGUGUAGGAUAGGUGGGAGGCUUUGAAGUGUGGACGCCAGUCUGCAUGGAGCCGACCUUGAAAUACCACCCUUUAAUGUUUGAUGUUCUAACGUUGGCCCGUAAUCCGGGUUGCGGACAGUGUCUGGUGGGUAGUUUGACUGGGGCGGUCUCCUCCUAAAGAGUAACGGAGGAGCACGAAGGUUGGCUAAUCCUGGUCGGACAUCAGGAGGUUAGUGCAAUGGCAUAAGCCAGCUUGACUGCGAGCGUGACGGCGCGAGCAGGUGCGAAAGCAGGUCAUAGUGAUCCGGUGGUUCUGAAUGGAAGGGCCAUCGCUCAACGGAUAAAAGGUACUCCGGGGAUAACAGGCUGAUACCGCCCAAGAGUUCAUAUCGACGGCGGUGUUUGGCACCUCGAUGUCGGCUCAUCACAUCCUGGGGCUGAAGUAGGUCCCAAGGGUAUGGCUGUUCGCCAUUUAAAGUGGUACGCGAGCUGGGUUUAGAACGUCGUGAGACAGUUCGGUCCCUAUCUGCCGUGGGCGCUGGAGAACUGAGGGGGGCUGCUCCUAGUACGAGAGGACCGGAGUGGACGCAUCACUGGUGUUCGGGUUGUCAUGCCAAUGGCACUGCCCGGUAGCUAAAUGCGGAAGAGAUAAGUGCUGAAAGCAUCUAAGCACGAAACUUGCCCCGAGAUGAGUUCUCCCUGACUCCUUGAGAGUCCUGAAGGAACGUUGAAGACGACGACGUUGAUAGGCCGGGUGUGUAAGCGCAGCGAUGCGUUGAGCUAACCGGUACUAAUGAACCGUGAGGCUUAACCUU